This is a long non-coding RNA of Magnolia sinica, 1009 nucleotides long. RefSeq lists it as uncharacterized. NCBI's taxonomy places the organism in Eukaryota, Viridiplantae, Streptophyta, Magnoliopsida, Magnoliales, Magnoliaceae. The record is from RefSeq and is a predicted model, not a curated record. The transcript has 5 exons.
AGUCAAUUCCUGGCCAUGUUGGAAAAUUGGCUGAUUACAACGUACAGGACACAACAACAUUGCUCAGAGUUGUUGAUUGCAACAGAUAUUCAACCACAGCCUUGUUUCAUCUAAGAAAGGGGGUCUUUUAGAGGCUACAUCUGGAUUUUUCUUUUCGUAGCUCAGUUUUUUGGUGAAUCUAUGUUGAGUGCCUCUAUUGGUUUCUUUGUUCCUCAGGGAAAGCAAGAUUCGUGGAGCCCGUAUGGACAAGGGCUGAAAGACAUGAAUUCAAACCUGGAUUCGAUCUCAGAAUCUCUCGAUUGUUUCUACAAACACUCUUCAACUUUCACAACCAAGGAGGUGAUUCACAUUAUUCGUUAUUAGUUUUGGACAGAGUUACAAUGGACUGGCCAUUGCAAAUUUUAGUUGUGCAUGGCACUUUAAUACUUCCAGUCCCUGCAGGCUGGAAGUUGAUCAGGCCAUCAAAUCAAGUGGUUCUAUGAGGUUUUUCUUUCUCCCAAACAUGAUACAUGUUGUAGGGAACUGGACCAAUGCACAAGGUGGGCUUCACCAUGACGAUCACCUGGAAAUAAAAUCAAGCUAGUCCACUCUUUGAGUAGGCCCCACAACCAAAAUCAAUGGACAACACUACAACAAAAGGUAAAGGCUUGGAUUACCAAAGCUUCAAAGAGUAUAUCAUCAUUUUGGAAGGUCUGUGAAAAGAACUUAGGUUACAAUGCAGGUGAUUCUGAUUCGGAUGAGUCAAAAGGCAAUUUGAAAUAAAGAUCAAUAAGAUAUGUUUUAUUUAAACGGAAGAGUCUAGGUGAGUUAAAUUUCUUUCGGAUCUAUCAUGGUGUUGAAAUUGCUUGACAAAUCAUGAUUACAAAUUUUCAAAUUUUAUAUGUUUUAGUUUAUGCAAACUCAUGGUACAAGGAAGCCAUCCCUCGAGUUCUUUGUUCUAUCAUUUUAAUGCAAUAAUGUCAUUUCUUGAGCUCUUUGUUCAUUUCAUUAUUUUAGAACAAAAAGAAGG